UACGUAGGGAGCAAGCGUUGUCCGGAAUCAUUGGGCGUAAAGCGCGCGUAGGUGGCUUCGUAAGUCCGUUGUGAAAGUCAAAGGCUCAACCUUUGAAAGCCGAUGGAUACUGCGGAGCUAGAGUACGGAAGAGGCGAGUGGAAUUCCUGGUGUAGCGGUGGAAUGCGCAGAUAUCAGGGGGAACACCAAUAGCGAAGGCAGCUCGCUGGGACGUUACUGACACUGAGGCGCGAAAGCGUGGGGAGCGAACAGG
This 253-nucleotide ribosomal RNA is filed under the name uncultured bacterium. RNAcentral's name for it is "partial 16S ribosomal RNA". It matches the Rfam family "Bacterial small subunit ribosomal RNA", at positions 524 to 776 of the family's 1533-position model. The record is from RNAcentral.